AUUGAACGCUGGCGGCAGGCCUAACACAUGCAAGUCGAGCGGAUGAAGGGAGCUUGCUCCUGGAUUCAGCGGCGGACGGGUGAGUAAUGCCUAGGAAUCUGCCUGGUAGUGGGGGAUAACGUCCGGAAACGGGCGCUAAUACCGCAUACGUCCUGAGGGAGAAAGUGGGGGAUCUUCGGACCUCACGCUAUCAGAUGAGCCUAGGUCGGAUUAGCUAGUUGGUGGGGUAAAGGCCUACCAAGGCGACGAUCCGUAACUGGUCUGAGAGGAUGAUCAGUCACACUGGAACUGAGACACGGUCCAGACUCCUGCGGGAGGCAGCAGUGGGGAAUAUUGGACAAUGGGCGAAAGCCUGAUCCAGCCAUGCCGCGUGUGUGAAGAAGGUCUUCGGAUUGUAAAGCACUUUAAGUUGGGAGGAAGAGCAGUAAGUUAAUACCUUGCUGUUUUGACGUUACCAACAGAAUAAGCACCGGCUAACUUCGUG
RNAcentral lists this ribosomal RNA (484 nucleotides) under uncultured bacterium. RNAcentral's name for it is "partial 16S ribosomal RNA". It matches the Rfam family "Bacterial small subunit ribosomal RNA", at positions 30 to 507 of the family's 1533-position model. The record is from RNAcentral.